GAUAUGGGUCAGGAUGAACGCUAGCUACAGGCUUAACACAUGCAAGUCGAGGGGCAGCAUUUUAGUUUGCUUGCAAACUAAAGAUGGCGACCGGCGCACGGGUGAGUAACACGUAUCCAACCUGCCGAUAACUCAGGGAUAGCCUUUCGAAAGAAAGAUUAAUACCUGAUGGCAUAGGAUUAUCGCAUGAUAAUCCUAUUAAAGAAUUUCGGUUAUCGAUGGGGAUGCGUUCCAUUAGG
This 239-nucleotide ribosomal RNA is filed under the name uncultured bacterium. RNAcentral's name for it is "partial 16S ribosomal RNA". It matches the Rfam family "Bacterial small subunit ribosomal RNA", at positions 15 to 245 of the family's 1533-position model. The record is from RNAcentral.